Molecule: long non-coding RNA, 218 nt
Filed under: Capsicum annuum
Lineage: Eukaryota; Viridiplantae; Streptophyta; Magnoliopsida; Solanales; Solanaceae
Description: long non-coding RNA (CANN_LNC018791)
Source: RNAcentral
UCAAUAAGAGGUAAGUAAUCCACCCAACUUUUCUUAAAGUCAAUCACACAAGCCCUUAGCAUAUCCUUCAAGGUAUGAAUAGUUUAUUUCGCUUGUCUAUUCAUUUUAGGGUAGAAAGUGGUGAUAAAGUUUACAUUAGUACCCAAACCUUUCUGAAAUAAAUGCCAAAACUAAUAGGAGAAUUACGUACCUCGAUCUGAAAUGAUAGACACCGGUGC